AAAUUGAAGAGUUUGAUCAUGGCUCAGAUUGAACGCUGGCGGCAGGCCUAACACAUGCAAGUCGAACGGUAACAGGAAACAGCUUGCUGUUUCGCUGACGAGUGGCGGACGGGUGAGUAAUGUCUGGGAAACUGCCUGAUGGAGGGGGAUAACUACUGGAAACGGUAGCUAAUACCGCAUAACGUCGCAAGACCAAAGAGGGGGACCCUCGGGCCUCUUGCCAUCGGAUGUGCCCAGAUGGGAUUAGCUUGUUGGUGGGGUAACGGCUCACCAAGGCGACGAUCCCUAGCUGGUCUGAGAGGAUGACCAGCCACACUGGAACUGAGA
This 327-nucleotide ribosomal RNA is filed under the name Escherichia coli. Its description in RNAcentral is "bacterial SSU rRNA". It matches the Rfam family "Bacterial small subunit ribosomal RNA", at positions 1 to 324 of the family's 1533-position model. Lineage: Bacteria; Pseudomonadati; Pseudomonadota; Gammaproteobacteria; Enterobacterales; Enterobacteriaceae. The record is from RNAcentral.